Molecule: ribosomal RNA, 463 nt
Filed under: uncultured bacterium
Lineage: Bacteria
Description: partial 16S ribosomal RNA
Rfam family: Bacterial small subunit ribosomal RNA
Source: RNAcentral
GAUGAACGCUGACAGAAUGCUUAACACAUGCAAGUCGAUGGGGAAGUGGUGCUUGCACCAUGGCACCCGUGGCGCACGGGUGAGUAACACGUAAGGGACUUCCCUGCAUGACUGUGGUAACAGGUGGAGACUCCUGACCUGACCGCAGAUUGUCAUUGAUCUUCCUUGCUUUGUGAUGAAAGGAGACGCCUGCGGAGAGCCUUGCGUCCUCUUAGCGAGUUGGUGAGGUAAUGGCUCAACAAGGCGAAGUUAGGUAGCGGGCCUGAGAGGGUGGACGGCCACAAGGGGAGUGAGAUACGGCAGUUACUCAUACGGGAGGGAGGAGUGGGGAAUAGUGGAAAAUGGGGGCAACUCUGAUCGAGAAAUUGUGUGUGGACGAAGAAGGUUUGGGGAUUGUAAAGUGUUUGCAGGAGAGAAGAAGUAAGUGACGGUACCGGGAGAAGAAGCGACGGCUAAAUACGUG